RNAcentral lists this ribosomal RNA (507 nucleotides) under uncultured bacterium. RNAcentral describes it as "partial 16S ribosomal RNA". It matches the Rfam family "Bacterial small subunit ribosomal RNA", at positions 28 to 507 of the family's 1533-position model. The record is from RNAcentral.
GACGAACGCUGGCGGCGUGCCUAAUACAUGCAAGUCGAACGCAUUUUCUUUCACCGUAGCUUGCUACACCGAAAGAAAAUGAGUGGCGAACGGGUGAGUAACACGUGGGUAACCUGCCCAUCAGCGGGGGAUAACACUUGGAAACAGGUGCUAAUACCGCAUAAUUCCAUUUACCGCAUGGUAGAUGGGUGAAAGGCGCUUUUGCGUCACUGAUGGAUGGACCCGCGGUGCAUUAGCUAGUUGGUGGGGUAACGGCCUACCAAGGCUGCGAUGCAUAGCCGACCUGAGAGGGUGAUCGGCCACACUGGGACUGAGACACGGCCCAGACUCCUACGGGAGGCAGCAGUAGGGAAUCUUCGGCAAUGGACGCAAGUCUGACCGAGCAACGCCACGUGAGUGAAGAAGGUUUUCGGAUCGUAAAACUCUGUUGUUAGAGAAGAACAAGGAUGAGAGUGGAAAGUUCAUCCCUUGACGGUAUCUAACCAGAAAGCCACGGCUAACUACGUG